GACGAACGCUGGCGGCGUGCCUAAUACAUGCAAGUCGAACGAGAGCGACCGGUGCUUGCACUGGUCAAUCUAGUGGCGAAAGGGUGAGUAACACGUGGGUAACCUGCCCAUCAGAGGGGGAUAACAUCCGGAAACGGAUGCUAAAACCGCAUAGGUCUUCGAGCCGCAUGGCUUGAAGAGGAAAAGAGGCGCAAGCUUCUGCUGAUGGAUGGACCCGCGGUGCAUUAGCUAGUUGGCGAGGUAACGGCUCACCAAGGCCGUGAUGCAUAGCCGACCUGAGAGGGUGAUCGGCCACAUUGGGACUGAGACACGGCCCAAACUCCUACGGGAGGCAGCAGUAGGGAAUCUUCCGCAAUGGACGCAAGUCUGACGGAGCAACGCCGCGUGAGUGAAGAAGGUUUUCGGAUCGUAAAACUCUGUUGUUAGAGAAGAACAAGUGCUAGAGUAACUGUUAGCGCCUUGACGGUAUCUAACCAGAAAGCCACGGCUAACUACGUG
This 498-nucleotide ribosomal RNA is filed under the name uncultured bacterium. RNAcentral's name for it is "partial 16S ribosomal RNA". It matches the Rfam family "Bacterial small subunit ribosomal RNA", at positions 28 to 507 of the family's 1533-position model. The record is from RNAcentral.